Ipomoea nil (Japanese morning glory) is the source of this 186-nucleotide long non-coding RNA. RefSeq lists it as uncharacterized. Lineage: Eukaryota; Viridiplantae; Streptophyta; Magnoliopsida; Solanales; Convolvulaceae. The record is from RefSeq and is a predicted model, not a curated record. The transcript is spliced from 3 exons.
UAUAUAUAUAGGAUUUGAUAGAGCAAUGAAACAACAUAGUUGGUCACAUGUUGGAUUUAUUUUCUUCUCAAUUCUAUUCAUUGGAAUUGCUAGGGUUACAAAUGUGUUUGGCUGUGCUAAUCAGGUGAAUCUGGCAAGACCUGCAAAUCGAAAAAUACCACCAAAACAUCAUAAAGAACUCUGGUA